GACUUGAUGGCUGUUGACUUGAAACGUGGAGAAACUCUUCCAAUCCACAUAAAUAUGACUUUCCCAUCUUUACCUUGUGAUGUUUUAAGUGUGGAUGCUAUUGACAUGUCUGGCAAGCAUGAGGUCGAUCUUGAUACAAAUAUAAGGAAACUUCGUUUGAGUAGUGAUGGCCACACUA
Camellia sinensis is the source of this 178-nucleotide non-coding RNA. The record is from RefSeq and is a predicted model, not a curated record. NCBI's taxonomy places the organism in Eukaryota, Viridiplantae, Streptophyta, Magnoliopsida, Ericales, Theaceae.